This 253-nucleotide ribosomal RNA is filed under the name uncultured bacterium. RNAcentral's name for it is "partial 16S ribosomal RNA". It matches the Rfam family "Bacterial small subunit ribosomal RNA", at positions 524 to 776 of the family's 1533-position model. The record is from RNAcentral.
GACGUAGGGGGCGAGCGUUGUCCGGAAUCAUUGGGCGUAAAGCGCGUGUAGGCGGCCAGAAAAGUCCGCUGUGAAAACUCGAGGCUCAACUUCGAGCUGUCGGUGGAAACUUUCUGGCUAGAGUCCGGAAGAGGAGAAUGGAAUUCCUGGUGUAGCGGUGAAAUGCGCAGAUAUCAGGAAGAACACCCGUGGCGAAGGCGGUUCUCUGGGACGGUACUGACGCUGAGACGCGAAAGCGUGGGGAGCGAACAGG